GAUGAACGCUGGCGGCGUGCCUAACACAUGCAAGUCGAGCGAUUCUCUUCGGAGAAGAGCGGCGGACGGGUGAGUAACGCGUGGGUAACCUGCCUCAUACACAUGGAUAACAUACCGAAAGGUAUGCUAAUACAGGAUGAUAUAAGAGAUUCGCAUGGAUUUCUUAUCAAAGCUCCGGCGGUAUGAGAUGGACCCGCGUCUGAUUAGCUAGUUGGUAAGGUAAUGGCUUACCAAGGCGACGAUCAGUAGCCGACCUGAGAGGGUGAUCGGCCACAUUGGAACUGAGACACGGUCCAAACUCCUACGGGAGGCAGCAGUGGGGAAUAUUGCACAAUGGGCGAAAGCCUGAUGCAGCAACGCCGCGUGAGUGAUGAAGGCCUUCGGGUCGUAAAACUCUGUCCUCAAGGAAGAUAAUGACGGUACUUGAGGAGGAAGCCCCGGCUAACUACGUGCCAGCAGCCGCGGUAAUACGUAGGGGGCUAGCGUUAUCCGGAUUUACUGGGCGUAAAGGGUGCGUAGGUGGUUUCUUAAGUCAGGAGUGAAAGGCUACGGCUCAACCGUAGUAAGCUCUUGAAACUGGGAAACUUGAGUGCAGGAGAGGAAAGUGGAAUUCCUAGUGUAGCGGUGAAAUGCGUAGAUAUUAGGAGGAACACCAGUAGCGAAGGCGGCUUUCUGGACUGUAACUGACACUGAGGCACGAAAGCGUGGGGAGCAAACAGGAUUAGAUACCCUGGUAGUCCACGCCGUAAACGAUGAGUACUAGGUGUCGGGGGUUACCCCCCUCGGUGCCGCAGCUAACGCAUUAAGUACUCCGCCUGGGGAGUACGCUCGCAAGAGUG
RNAcentral lists this ribosomal RNA (839 nucleotides) under uncultured bacterium. Its description in RNAcentral is "bacterial SSU rRNA". It matches the Rfam family "Bacterial small subunit ribosomal RNA", at positions 28 to 896 of the family's 1533-position model. The record is from RNAcentral.